UACGUAGGGUGCAAGCGUUGUCCGGAAUUAUUGGGCGUAAAGAGCUCGUAGGCGGUUUGUCGCGUCGGCUGUGAAAACCCGGGGCUCAACCCCGGGCCUGCAGUCGAUACGGGCAAACUAGAGUGCGGUAGGGGAGACUGGAAUUCCUGGUGUAGCGGUGAAAUGCGCAGAUAUCAGGAGGAACACCGGUGGCGAAGGCGGGUCUCUGGGCCGUAACUGACACUGAGGAGCGAAAGCGUGGGGAGCGAACAGG
RNAcentral lists this ribosomal RNA (253 nucleotides) under uncultured bacterium. RNAcentral describes it as "partial 16S ribosomal RNA". It matches the Rfam family "Bacterial small subunit ribosomal RNA", at positions 524 to 776 of the family's 1533-position model. The record is from RNAcentral.